CCUACGGGAGGCAGCAGUGAGGAAUAUUGGUCAAUGGGCGAGAGCCUGAACCAGCCAAGUCGCGUGAAGGAUGAAGGAUCUAUGGUUUGUAAACUUCUUUUAUAUGGGAAUAAAGUGUGGGACGUGUCCUAUUUUGUAUGUACCUUAUGAAUAAGGAUCGGCUAACUCCGUGCCAGCAGCCGCGGCAAUACGGAGGAUCCGAGCGUUAUCCGGAUUUAUUGGGUUUAAAGGGUGCGUAGGCGGCCUUUUAAGUCAGCGGUGAAAGUCUGUGGCUCAACCAUAGAAUUGCCGUUGAAACUGGGGGGCUUGAGUAUGUUUGAGGCAGGCGGAAUGCGUGGUGUAGCUGUGAAAUGCUUAGAUAUCACGCAGAACCCCGAUUGCGAAGGCAGCCUGCCAAGCCAUGACUGACGCUGAUGCACGAAAGCGUGGGGAUCAAACAGGAUUAGAUACCCUAGUAGUC
Molecule: ribosomal RNA, 460 nt
Filed under: uncultured bacterium
Lineage: Bacteria
Description: partial 16S ribosomal RNA
Rfam family: Bacterial small subunit ribosomal RNA
Source: RNAcentral